Molecule: ribosomal RNA, 292 nt
Filed under: uncultured bacterium
Lineage: Bacteria
Description: partial 16S ribosomal RNA
Rfam family: Bacterial small subunit ribosomal RNA
Source: RNAcentral
GUGCCAGCAGCCGCGGUAAUACGGAGGGUGCAAGCGUUAUCCGGAUUCACUGGGUUUAAAGGGUGCGUAGGCGGGUAAGUAAGUCCGUGGUGAAAUCUCUGAGCUUAACUCAGAAACUGCCGUGGAUACUAUUUGCCUUGAAUAUUGUGGAGGUGAGCGGAAUAUGUCAUGUAGCGGUGAAAUGCUUAGAUAUGACAUAGAACACCAAUUGCGAAGGCAGCUCACUACACAAUCAUUGACGCUGAGGCACGAAAGCGUGGGGAUCAAACAGGAUUAGAUACCCGCGUAGUCC